RNAcentral lists this ribosomal RNA (477 nucleotides) under uncultured bacterium. RNAcentral describes it as "partial 16S ribosomal RNA". It matches the Rfam family "Bacterial small subunit ribosomal RNA", at positions 28 to 507 of the family's 1533-position model. The record is from RNAcentral.
GAUGAACGCUGGCGGCGUGCCUAAUACAUGCAAGUCGAGCGAACGGACGAGAAGCUUGCUUCUCUGAUGUUAGCGGCGGACGGGUGAGUAACACGUGGAUAACCUACCUAUAAGACUGGGAUAACUUCGGGAAACCGGAGCUAAUACCGGAUAAUAUUUUGAACCGCAUGGUUCAAAAGUGAAAGACGGUCUUGCUGUCACUUAUAGAUGGAUCCGCGCUGCAUUAGCUAGUUGGUAGGGUAACGGCUUACCAAGGCAACGAUGCGUAGCCGACCUGAGAGGGUGACCAGCCACAGUGGGACUGAGAUAGGGGCCAGACUGGUGGGGGAGGCAGCAGGGGGGAAUAAUGCACAAUGGUCGGAAGGCUGAUGCAGAACGGCCGCGUGCGGGGUGACGGCAUACGGGUUGUAAACGGCUUUCGCAUGUGACGAAGCGUGAGUGACGGUAAUGGGUAAAGAGGCACCGGCUAAGUACGUG